CACACACAAAAGCACACACACGUACAGUCUCACACACAAUCUCACAUAUACACACACACACAUUCCCACUUGCACUCACAUGCAUUUAAUGUAUACUCUUUAUAUCCCAAACACAUCUUUACCUAUGACUUAUAUCAGCUGACUACCCCACUCUUCAGUAUUUUCACAUAUUUUUCACAUACGUUACUGUAUUUAGAGUGGCUAUUAUAAUGGCACAACUUAUAGCAAUACAAAUGUGUUCAUCAUAUGUGGUUUGAAUCUGUGAUCAAUUGAGGUCUUCAUCAACAAUGACUGUGUAUAUUAAGUAGCACUUUGGGGAUGUUCCAGAAAGCAGGAUCAUUGAGUUAACCAGCUAGCUUACUGAAAUCCAUAUUUUUGAGAAAUAUACACUUGACAUUGGCAUAGUAUAUAUUAAUCAACAAUCAAAAACGCAUAUUCAAGCUGAGCUAAAUUAACCAAAAAAUUCAAGAGAUAUAUAUGAUCGUUAAUAUGUUAGCUAGAUAACGCAAGGAUUUAUUUGAUUUUAUCACAGGCUAUUGGAAGUAUACAUGGGUGAAAAUGUUUGUUCCAAAAAAGAUUGGUGUUUGUAAUGUUCAUUCGUGUACAGUACAUGUAAAAUGGAAAAAGUAGUUUCCCUUGUUUAUGCCUUUCAAAGGAAAUCUCUGUAAUGUUCAUGCUGAGUUUCUCUCAAUCUAAAGCUCGUUUCAUAGAUUUGCUCGAGUGAAUUGAAGAGACUUCCCCAAUUGCAAAAUGUAGAUCAUUUCUGUUUUCUUUCCUUCUGCAUUAUAAGUUCAAUUCCCAAGAGAACAGCCAAUAAUAAUAAUUGUAACAGUGUUUUGGACUUGUGAUUUUUGUGCUAUUUAUUCUUUGUUUCACUGCUUUGUGCCACUGACCCAUUUGACAUGCAUGGAACCUAUGACAUUUGACGUAAGUGUUUGGACGAAAAGCGUACAAUGAGGGAGUUCAGGUGCAGUGGAGUGCAGUGAUCCCUAGUGUCACCCUGGAAUGAAGGACAAGUUCUGCUCGAAUACUUCAGCCACGAAGCCACACUAAUGACUUGUUGGAAGAGACACUUUCCUGUGUAGCACACAUUCUUACAGAGAGCGGUUCUCUGCUGCUUCGACAGCCAGAGUUCCUGCAACUAUGGUGGAUGUGUAACCGACCCAGCCCAGUACAGAGCGCUGCUUAAGGAAAUACAAAUUGCCCUCUCAUCAAUACUCAUGCAUUUGCUGCC
Long non-coding RNA from Oncorhynchus tshawytscha (Chinook salmon), 1234 nucleotides. RefSeq lists it as uncharacterized. The record is from RefSeq and is a predicted model, not a curated record. The transcript is spliced from 4 exons. Lineage: Eukaryota; Metazoa; Chordata; Actinopteri; Salmoniformes; Salmonidae.